GGCGAGUGGCGAACGGGUGAGUAAUAUAUCGGAACGUACCCUAGAGUGGGGGAUAACGUAGCGAAAGUUACGCUAAUACCGCAUACGAUCUAAGGAUGAAAGUGGGGGAUCGCAAGACCUCAUGCUCGUGGAGCGGCCGAUAUCUGAUUAGCUAGUUGGUAGGGUAAAAGCCUACCAAGGCAUCGAUCAGUAGCUGGUCUGAGAGGACGACCAGCCACACUGGAACUGAGACACGGUCCAGACUCCUACGGGAGGCAGCAGUGGGGAAUUUUGGACAAUGGGCGAAAGCCUGAUCCAGCAAUGCCGCGUGAGUGAAGAAGGCCUUCGGGUUGUAAAGCUCUUUUGUCAGGGAAGAAACGGUGAAAGCUAAUAUCUUUUGCUAAUGACGGUACCUGAAGAAUAAGCACCGGCUAACUACGUGCCAGCAGCCGCGGUAAUACGUAGGGUGCAAGCGUUAAUCGGAAUUACUGGGCGUAAAGCGUGCGCAGGCGGUUUUGUAAGUCUGAUGUGAAAUCCCCGGGCUCAACCUGGGAAUUGCAUUGGAGACUGCAAGGCUAGAAUCUGGCAGAGGGGGGUAGAAUUCCACGUGUAGCAGUGAAAUGCGUAGAUAUGUGGAGGAACACCGAUGGCGAAGGCAGCCCCCUGGGUCAAGAUUGACGCUCAUGCACGAAAGCGUGGGGAGCAAACAGGAUUAGAUACCCUGGUAGUCCACGCCCUAAACGAUGUCUACUAGUUGUCGGGUCUUAAUUGACUUGGUAACGCAGCUAACGCGUGAAGUAGACCGCCUGGGGAGUACGGUCGCAAGAUUAAAACUCAAAGGAAUUGACGGGGACCCGCACAAGCGGUGGAUGAUGUGGAUUAAUUCGAUGCAACGCGAAAAACCUUACCUACCCUUGACAUGGCUGGAAUCCCGGAGAGAUUUGGGAGUGCUCGAAAGAGAACCAGUACACAGGUGCUGCAUGGCUGUCGUCAGCUCGUGUCGUGAGAUGUUGGGUUAAGUCCCGCAACGAGCGCAACCCUUGUCAUUAGUUGCUACGAAAGGGCACUCUAAUGAGACUGCCGGUGACAAACCGGAGGAAGGUGGGGAUGACGUCAAGUCCUCAUGGCCCUUAUGGGUAGGGCUUCACACGUCAUACAAUGGUACAUACAGAGCGCCGCCAACCCGCGAGGGGGAGCUAAUCGCAGAAAGUGUAUCGUAGUCCGGAUUGUAGUCUGCAACUCGACUGCAUGAAGUUGGAAUCGCUAGUAAUCGCGGAUCAGCAUGUCGCGGUGAAUACGUUCCCGGGUCUUGUACACACCGCCCGUCACACCAUGGGAGCGGGUUUUACCAGAAGUAGGUAG
Molecule: ribosomal RNA, 1341 nt
Filed under: Janthinobacterium lividum
Lineage: Bacteria; Pseudomonadati; Pseudomonadota; Betaproteobacteria; Burkholderiales; Oxalobacteraceae
Description: bacterial SSU rRNA
Rfam family: Bacterial small subunit ribosomal RNA
Source: RNAcentral